RNAcentral lists this transfer RNA (72 nucleotides) under Streptomyces griseochromogenes. RNAcentral's name for it is "tRNA-Ala". It matches the Rfam family "tRNA". From Rfam's summary of the family: Transfer RNA (tRNA) molecules are approximately 80 nucleotides in length. Their secondary structure includes four short double-helical elements and three loops (D, anti-codon, and T loops). Lineage: Bacteria; Bacillati; Actinomycetota; Actinomycetes; Kitasatosporales; Streptomycetaceae. The record is from RNAcentral.
CCGGAGGUAGCGCAGAGGCAGGCGCACCCGCAUGGCAUGCGGGUCACGCCGGUUCGAAUCCGGUCGUCCGGA